UCUCUCGGGAGCUUUCCCC
This 19-nucleotide small nuclear RNA is filed under the name Arabidopsis thaliana (thale cress). RNAcentral describes it as "snRNA_00140". The record is from RNAcentral. Lineage: Eukaryota; Viridiplantae; Streptophyta; Magnoliopsida; Brassicales; Brassicaceae.